GUUCUCUAAACAGAUUAGGGUUAGGUUUAUGGUUAGGGUAAGGGCUAGGUUUAAACCUAGUGUUAGGGUUAGAGUCAGUUGUGUUCAUGUAUCUUUGAUACUGGGCAGGAUUCAUCUUUUACCUAGCCUCACAAUGUUCCCUGGUUUGGGCCUUCUCAGUUCAAUGGAUUCCUGUGAGGAACAGUUUGUAUUUUAAGGUUUCAUUUUAUUUUGAACUAUUUUGUUUAAGAGAAGUGGAGCACAAAAUCAAACAGGGUUGGUGCUAGCUGCUUGAAACUGCACACACUCAAUCAGUUCUCUGUGGGCACUCUCUGGUUUGUUCCUUGUGAAUGUUGCCCUCAGCUGAAACAUGCAAAGCAACUUUAUCCCAGAGCACUUUUGGAGAAAUCAAGGAAAUAUGAAUGUACUGAAACACUUCCCCCAAUUAUUUGCUCAGAUUUCUUUGAUACUGUGCAGGAUUCAUCUGUUAGCUUCCCACACUAGGCUCCCUUAGUUUGGACUUCUAUGAUCAAAGGUUCUCUAAACAGGCUAGGGUGAGCUGUAGGGUUAGGAUUAAGGAUAGA
RNAcentral lists this long non-coding RNA (563 nucleotides) under Marmota monax (woodchuck). Lineage: Eukaryota; Metazoa; Chordata; Mammalia; Rodentia; Sciuridae. The record is from RNAcentral.